AUUCAAUUCUCCUUACCGCUUACAAUUCCCUCAUUCUUCUUUCACACGCUCCUUGGAUUAUAUAUGUAAACUUGAAUAAUUCUUCAAUUACUGGAACGUCAUAUGGAAGCGUUUCCAAUCUUUUGCAAUUAGUCAAAAGGGUUAUUCUUCUACCUUGAAACCCUAAUAUGUUCGAAUUGAACCAUGAUGUUGUGAUCGAUUGGUUGAUUUUACAAUUACAAGAUAUGGCUGAAUGAAUACAGAUGCUGAAAACCCUUUGCCACAUCACCUGGUAAGUUUUUUUUCUCAAUCCGUAAUCUAAUUCACGCAAGUUUCUUAUGUUGAUUUGUGUUUCAUGUCUUUGUAAGUUUCUUAUUUACAUAUUUUGUUCUUAUUUUCUAUAAUCGAUUGUUUUGAUUCCACGCCGCUGUGCUCUCCAACAAUCCCUUCAAUAGCGGCUACACAAGAGGAUCCCUGAUUCCAGUCAAAUCAAGAAAUGACGUUCAAUGAGCCAUGAAUGGAGCCGAGUGUCAGCUUCGUUAAAACUCCCAGGGAGUGUUUCAAAACAUAACUUGGAGAACUCGUUAAAAAAGAUGUGUAAAGAAGGUGCAUACUGGGGAACUAUAGCUGGAGUAUAUGUUGGAAUGGAGUAUGGCGUUGAGGGAGUGCGUGGCGUCAGAGAUUGGGUAAAUAUUAACAGUUUUAUGACACCCGUUUUGUAAUGCUUGCACAGGUCCACUGGUGGAAAUGCUCGGAUUAUGGUUGAGGAAGACUCCAUCACUUCAUAUGUUCAGUAUUGUUGUGAUGGUUGUUCCACUGUCCCUAUACUCAGGCGUAGAUGGUAUUGUACUGUCUACCCUGAUUUUGAUUUAUGUGAAGCAUGCUAUCUAAUGCUUGAUGCUGACCGACUUCCUCCGCCUCAUUCCUGAGACCAUCUUUUGUCAGCAAUUCCAAUUGAAAUCGAAACAUAUAGUGGAGAGGGAAAUGAAAUGCAGUUCUCUACUGAUGAUUUUUGUGAUCGAUGUUGCUGACUUUUGCAUCUGAUGCUGGCAUGCAGACAUCUGCUCCUACAAUUCAUGUAUUGGAAACCAAUGAAUCCAAAGAGUUUCUAGCUUCAGUCACUAACCCUAUUAUGAUUUCUGCAUCAAAAGGGUUGUGAUUUCUGCAUCUUUGGUGUUUGGGCUAUACCAUUUAUGCAGCUCUUCUACAGGAUAUCUUCCGCAGCAGGUGGACCUUUUGUUGGCUCAAGGCCUGAAAGUCUGGAUCUGGAGAAACUAUUAAAAUUGUUUUUAGUUGAAAUUUCAAUUAACAAACCUUUUGCAGCCAAUAUUCGUUCUUCUUUCGGGAAAGUCACAAUCUUGGUAUUUAUGUUCUUCAUAUUAAUGCUGCAAAACUGGCACCAAGAAGACAGUCACAUCACUUGCAAAAAUCAACUGAUUGUUCACAUUUUAUCACAGGGUCUCUAGACAAGUCUGCACAGCUAUAGGACAACAGAACAUUGACACUGAUCAAGACAUAUGUUACUGAACAUCCAUCAACGCUGUUGCAAUGUCCCCGCUUCUUAACCACGUGGUGCUUGGGGGUGGCCAGGAUGCAUCUGCUGUUACCACAACCGAUCAUCGUGCGGGAAAGUUUGAAGCCAAAUUUUAUGACAAGGUUCUGCAAGAAGAGAUUGGAGGCGUUAAAGGACAUUUCGGGCCAAUUAAUGCUUUGGCAUUCAACCCGGAUGGAAAAAGAUCUCAACAACAACAAGAAGUUUUGACCUGGUUGCUCGAGCCUUAGGCCAUCAACGGACUCAACUCGAGUGGAAAAAUAUAUAUUUACAGGUCUGGUUAAACUGCAUCAUUUAUUCUAUAUCCAUUGCCUUCUCAUCAUCUGUUGUAAGUUGUAACAACAAGAAGUUUUGACCUGGUUGCUCGAGACUUUCAAGUUUGUGAUAGUUGGAAGUAGAAAUGCUGAUAGGAAUUUCGUCAAACAUGGGAUGACUGAUGGAAAUUUGGUAAAAUCAGGCAAGAUGGUGUUGCCAUCAGACCGAAAGUUGUUACAACACUGGCGAUGGUUUGGUGGUUUCAAGCCAAGCCAGAGGCGGUGAUGGUGUUCAGCGAAUCAGCGGCGGCUUGAGAUGAUUGGUUUUGGUGAUAGUUGAUUUUCAGUGACAAGCAACUAGGGUUCCAAACGCGAUCUCCGGGUUACAGAUUGGUGAGUGUGUUGACUAGCGGCAUGGUUUUUGACUUCGACCGUGAGGAUGGAAGGCACCUGGUUCAGAAUACAGAACUGCAUGUCGGCUUCCCCGCCAAUUUUAUAACUAGGUUAACAUUUCCUCUUUCAUUUUUCUGAUUUUCUCCAUAAUUUUUGUGUUUUGUAACUUAAUUUUCGCAAUCUUUGAUCAUGUCUAUAAGGUAUUUGAUGAAAUGCGUCGCUGGGUUAUCUCUUAAUAAAAUAUUUCUAACUUGUGUCAUGUGUUUAAUGGGUUUGCAUGGAAGUGUUUGAUAUUAAUCUAUAAUAGUUUCUGAUGAUUUGUGUGAAUAUAUGCUUCUGAGUAAUCUAAAAGUUGGUUUAUAUCACAACUAAUUGACAAAACAUAUUGGAAGCUCCAACGGCAUAUGAUUGUUGACAACAAGAUCAGGUCUGACAAGACGUACCCUGCUGGUUUCAUGGAUGUUGUUUCUAUUCCCAAGACCAAUGAAAGCCUUUGGUUUUCUUUACGACACAAAGGGUAGAUUUAGACUGCACUCAAUCAGAGACGAGGAGUCAAAGGAGAUGGAUGCUCUGAAAGACAAGAAUUUAGUUGCAAUUACCUUGCAACAGAGGAGCAACCAUACGGUCGAUGGGUUGUGUCCAUCUGCUCUGCACAUUGCGACACGACACGAGCCAUGUGCUUCUGUGGUGAAGGAACCAAAUACCUGAAUCGUCCUGUUGUUGAGUCAUGCGGGUUCCAAAUAUAGUAAGCCUAUGAAUUAUAGCUUUCCGUUCUGGGCGGUUGGGUUUGGGUUGACCCACAAACAUUUUUUCCAUUAAAAUAAUAUGUUAAGUAUAUAUAUAUUUGAUUCAUCUGAGAUAUGAUGUGACUCAAAUCGACCCAUUCAUAAUUAGGUGAGUCAGAAUUGCCACCUUUACCGAUUCAUAAAACCAACCCUCUUAACUAGCUUACCGCUUACCUUCUGAACCUUGUGCACCAAAGGCAGUUAACUGGUCAAAAGCUGACCAUGAAAAUAUAUUCUCAACAAACAAAAGCAUGUUUGGUUGGUGUAAUGUAGAUCUGGUUGAAGCUUAUAAUUCGAAGGUGGAGAGUUUCCAAUAUCUACCGAAACUCAUGGAGAGCAGAUGUUAUCAUCACUUCAUAAAUGGGUACAUCCUUACGGGUCACUCAAGGUUAUUUGAUUGGUGGAAGGAGUUGGACUUUGCAGCUUUGAAUCAGAGUUCGGUUUCGUUUCUUAAUGUUGUGAAAUUGGCCUGGGCCCUAAUUCGGACUUCUAAAGUUACCUUGUAUUGUUUUGUAAUUUGUGGAUAGAUUCAUUGGAAUAAGGACUGUUACUGAGCUUUACUAUCAUAAAUAUGAUACCAUAUGGCUUCUUUUA
Molecule: long non-coding RNA, 3557 nt
Organism: Helianthus annuus (common sunflower)
Lineage: Eukaryota; Viridiplantae; Streptophyta; Magnoliopsida; Asterales; Asteraceae
Exons: 11
Source: RefSeq, a predicted model, not a curated record